RNAcentral lists this ribosomal RNA (206 nucleotides) under uncultured bacterium. RNAcentral's name for it is "partial 16S ribosomal RNA". It matches the Rfam family "Bacterial small subunit ribosomal RNA", at positions 568 to 774 of the family's 1533-position model. The record is from RNAcentral.
UGCGUAGGUGGCGAGGUAAGUCGGAUGUGAAAGCUCGGAGCUCAACUCCGAAAUGGCAUUGGAAACUACCUUGCUCGAGGGUUGGAGGGGGGACUGGAAUGCUUGGUGUAGCAGUGAAAUGCGUAGAUAUCAAGCGGAACACCAGUGGCGAAGGCGAGUCCCUGGACAACUCCUGACACUGAGGCACGAAAGCUAGGGAGCAAACA